RNAcentral lists this ribosomal RNA (386 nucleotides) under uncultured bacterium. Its description in RNAcentral is "bacterial SSU rRNA". It matches the Rfam family "Bacterial small subunit ribosomal RNA", at positions 30 to 416 of the family's 1533-position model. The record is from RNAcentral.
AUUGAACGCUGGCGGCAUGCCUUACACAUGCAGGUCGAACGGCAGCACGGGAGCAAUCCUGGUGGCGAGUGGCGAACGGGUGAGUAAUAUAUCGGAACGUGCCCAGUCGUGGGGAUAACGUAGCGAAAGCUACGCUAAUACCGCAUACGAUCUAUGGAUGAAAGCGGGGGAUCGCAAGACCUCGCGCGAUUGGAGCGGCCGAUAUCAGAUUAGGUAGUUGGUGAGGUAAAGGCUCACCAAGCCGACGAUCUGUAGCUGGUCUGAGAGGACGACCAGCCACACUGGGACUGAGACACGGCCCAGACUCCUACGGGAGGCAGCAGUGGGGAAUUUUUGGACAAUGGGCGCAAGCCUGAUCCAGCAAUGCCGCGUGCAGGAUGAAGGCC